GACGAACGCUGGCGGCGUGCUUAACACAUGCAAGUCGAGCGGGGAUAUACGGAAGGUUUACCGGAAGUAUAUCCUAGCGGCGGACGGGUGAGUAACGCGUGGGUAACCUACCUCAUACAGGGGGAUAACACAGGGAAACCUGUGCUAAUACCGCAUAACAUAACGGGGCGGCAUCGUCCUGUUAUCAAAGGAGAAAUCCGGUAUGAGAUGGGUCCGCGUCCGAUUAGCUGGUUGGUGAGGUAACGGCUCACCAAGGCGACGAUCGGUAGCCGAACUGAGAGGUUGGUCGGCCACAUUGGGACUGAGACACGGCCCAGACUCCUACGGGAGGCAGCAGUGGGGAAUCUUGCGCAAUGGGCGAAAGCCUGACGCAGCGACGCCGCGUGAGCGAAGAAGGCCUUCGGUCGUAACGUUACUUUGUAUUGGGUACGGAAGGAAGGUAGACGGUACCCGAAACGAACAAAGACCACGGCGUAACUAACGUAGCCACGCAGCUGCGGUCGAAACUACAGCU
This 514-nucleotide ribosomal RNA is filed under the name bacterium enrichment culture clone TC60a_547. RNAcentral describes it as "bacterial SSU rRNA". It matches the Rfam family "Bacterial small subunit ribosomal RNA", at positions 28 to 533 of the family's 1533-position model. The record is from RNAcentral.